This 795-nucleotide long non-coding RNA is filed under the name Homo sapiens (human). RNAcentral's name for it is "HSALNT0359932". Lineage: Eukaryota; Metazoa; Chordata; Mammalia; Primates; Hominidae. The record is from RNAcentral.
UCCGCCCCCGCGGUGGGAAAAGUGGGCGCCGGCGGCUGCUUCCCAGCCCUGCUGAACCGAAAGUUCUGGGUUUCAGCGGGAGAUGGGGGCGCGCCACCGCGACCAGGUGCAGGAGAGGAGGCCACUUCGCACAGAAUCAGCAACUGUCCAAUGGUCUGGCCCGCACAGCAGGAGUUGUGAGGUUCCCACGUGGCUGGAUUGAACAGGAGAAUCUGGAACCAGGAGUGAGCAGAGCUGGCCCCAGGCCUUGGUGGCUGUGUACUAGUUCUGUGACCUGCAAUCAGUCACUUAACUUCUGUGAGCUCCUCUCUUUCCGUCUGUAAAAAAGGAAUAUGUACUACCCACUUCCUGAGUAGAUGUUGAAGAUGUUGUAAAAGGUUCGAGUCAACCAAUUAAAAGCAAUAGAUCACAUGAAGAUGAGUAUAUCUUCUGUUUGUUGGGACAUAAUCCAGAGAGGAUCUUUCUCCCCAGAUAUUAUGGGAUGGCCACAUUUUACAGCUGAGAGUGACAAGGCUUAGAAACUAAACAUAUAAGGUCCUGCCCCAUCUCCUGGAAGAAGGAAUGCUACACAGAGAGGCUAAGAAGACUCUGGACAGUGCAGAAUCUGGAGCUAGAGAAAAAUUUAAAAAGCCACAAGGAUGUGAAUUGCUGAGCCUGAGAUAGAAGAGGUAGGGAAAAAAAACAUAAGAACCUGCUUGUCUUCUGUUGAGUUAAAACGAACUAUUUUUUAAAAUAGUGUGAAAUAAAGGAAAUGAGAGACAUAUUAAGGAUAUGCUACAGUGAAUGUAGAGACAA